UACGAAGGGGGCUAGCGUUGUUCGGAUUUACUGGGCGUAAAGCGCACGUAGGCGGCUUUGUAAGUAAGAGGUGAAAGCCCAGAGCUCAACUCUGGAAUUGCCUUUAGACUGCAUCGCUUGAAUCAUGGAGAGGUCAGUGGAAUUCCGAGUGUAGAGGUGAAAUUCGUAGAUAUUCGGAAGAACACCAGUGGCGAAGGCGGCUGACUGGACAUGUAUUGACGCUGAGGUGCGAAAGCGUGGGGAGCAAACAGG
This 252-nucleotide ribosomal RNA is filed under the name uncultured bacterium. RNAcentral's name for it is "partial 16S ribosomal RNA". It matches the Rfam family "Bacterial small subunit ribosomal RNA", at positions 524 to 776 of the family's 1533-position model. The record is from RNAcentral.